GAGAGCAGUGGACAGGAGAGCGACCUGUCAGCUGUGCCUGUGAUAUCACCAUACCUGUUUACCUCACAAAGCCUCCCGAGUUUCAAGUGAUGUGCAGCCAUCCACUGAGAGAUAACAGCCAGACAAGCCGAUAUCCGUGCCUCCACCUGGGUUUCAGAUCUGGGAAAAGACAGAAUCUGAUGAGUGUCAUCUGCGUAGCUGUGGUAGGAGAAACCAUGAGAGUGAAUGACAGAGCCAAGUGAGUUGGUGUACAGAGAAAAGAGGAGGGAGCCGAGGACGGAGCCCUGAAGAACCCUAGUGCAACUGCAGAAAACUGUGCAGUGUGGAUGGAACCAUUUCAAAACACAUGCCAUCAUACACUGGUGAGCGCUCUGCUUCAAAGACUUGCUCACUGCUGCUAUUAAUAACUCAUGCGCACUUGCAGGAGCAUUGUGGGUGUAAUGGGGGUAGGGGACCGAAAGUUUAUUUUUCUUUUCCUGCAUCAACAAUAAUAACAAAUUGUUGCCAACAAUUUAACCCAAAUAAAGACAGAGCAACUUGG
Molecule: long non-coding RNA, 541 nt
Organism: Cottoperca gobio
Lineage: Eukaryota; Metazoa; Chordata; Actinopteri; Perciformes; Bovichtidae
Exons: 3
Source: RefSeq, a predicted model, not a curated record